UCGAGCGGUAGCACAGAGAGCUUGCUCUCGGGUGACGAGCGGCGGACGGGUGAGUAAUGUCUGGGAAACUGCCUGAUGGAGGGGGAUAACUACUGGAAACGGUAGCUAAUACCGCAUAAUGUCGCAAGACCAAAGUGGGGGACCUUCGGGCCUCAUGCCAUCAGAUGUGCCCAGAUGGGAUUAGCUAGUAGGUGGGGUAACGGCUCACCUAGGCGACGAUCCCUAGCUGGUCUGAGAGGAUGACCAGCCACACUGGAACUGAGACACGGUCCAGACUCCUACGGGAGGCAGCAGUGGGGAAUAUUGCACAAUGGGCGCAAGCCUGAUGCAGCCAUGCCGCGUGUGUGAAGAAGGCCUUCGGGUUGUAAAGCACUUUCAGCGGGGAGGAAGGCGGUAAGGUUAAUAACCUUGUCGAUUGACGUUACCCGCAGAAGAAGCACCGGCUAACUCCGUGCCAGCAGCCGCGGUAAUACGGAGGGUGCAAGCGUUAAUCGGAAUUACUGGGCGUAAAGCGCACGCAGGCGGUCUGUCAAGUCGGAUGUGAAAUCCCCGGGCUCAACCUGGGAACUGCAUUCGAAACUGGCAGGCUAGAGUCUUGUAGAGGGGGAGUAGAAUUCCAGGUGUAGCGGUGAAAUGCGUAGAGAUCUGGAGGAAUACCGGUGGCGAAGGCGGCCCCCUGGACAAAGACUGACGCUCAGGUGCGAAAGCGUGGGGAGCAAACAGGAUUAGAUACCCUGGUAGUCCACGCCGUAAACGAUGUCGAUUUGGAGGUUGUGCCCUUGAGGCGUGGCUUCCGGAGCUAACGCGUUAAAUCGACCGCCUGGGGAGUACGGCCGCAAGGUUAAAACUCAAAUGAAUUGACGGGGGCCCGCACAAGCGGUGGAGCAUGUGGUUUAAUUCGAUGCAACGCGAAGAACCUUACCUGGUCUUGACAUCCACAGAACUUUCCAGAGAUGGAUUGGUGCCUUCGGGAACUGUGAGACAGGUGCUGCAUGGCUGUCGUCAGCUCGUGUUGUGAAAUGUUGGGUUAAGUCCCGCAACGAGCGCAACCCUUAUCCUUUGUUGCCAGCGGUUCGGCCGGGAACUCAAAGGAGACUGCCAGUGAUAAACUGGAGGAAGGUGGGGAUGACGUCAAGUCAUCAUGGCCCUUACGACCAGGGCUACACACGUGCUACAAUGGCAUAUACAAAGAGAAGCGACCUCGCGAGAGCAAGCGGACCUCAUAAAGUAUGUCGUAGUCCGGAUUGGAGUCUGCAACUCGACUCCAUGAAGUCGGAAUCGCUAGUAAUCGUAGAUCAGAAUGCUACGGUGAAUACGUUCCCGGGCCUUGUACACACCGCCCGUCACACCAUGGGAGUGGGUUGCAAAAGAAGUAGGUAGC
This 1381-nucleotide ribosomal RNA is filed under the name Klebsiella pneumoniae. RNAcentral's name for it is "bacterial SSU rRNA". It matches the Rfam family "Bacterial small subunit ribosomal RNA", at positions 62 to 1434 of the family's 1533-position model. The record is from RNAcentral. Lineage: Bacteria; Pseudomonadati; Pseudomonadota; Gammaproteobacteria; Enterobacterales; Enterobacteriaceae.